UCGCUUCUGCGGUGUACCAGCAAUCAGACCCUUCAGCUAUACAAAAAUUCCAAAUUUUGAUCAGUUAAUCACCCGGAAUCCACCCGAGGCUCCCGGGACCCUAACCAAUCAUACCAACCAGUCCCAAAGCACAUUUCGGACUUGCUUGAGGCCUCAAAUCACAUCAAACAAUGCAAAAAUCAUGAAUCAACCUCCAAUCCAAGCUUUAUGAACUUUAGAACUUCUAACUUCUAUUUCUGAUGCCGAAACCUAUCAAAUUACGUCCGAUUGACAUCAAAUUUUGCACACAAGUCCAAAAUGUCAUAGCGAAGCUACAACAACUCUCGGAAUUCCAUUCCGACUCUCGGAUCAAAAUUUCACCUAUAGAACUUCCAACUUCUACUUUCGAUGCUUAAACCUAUCAAAUCAACUCCGAUUAACCUCAAAUUUUGCACACAAGUCAUAUUCGACAUUACGAACCUACUUCAACUUUCCGAAUCGGAUUCCGACCCCGAUAUCAAAAAGUCCACUUCCGAUCAAACUUCUCCAAAAACCUUCGAAUUUCUAC
This 547-nucleotide long non-coding RNA is filed under the name Nicotiana benthamiana. Its description in RNAcentral is "long non-coding RNA (NBEN_LNC015666)". The record is from RNAcentral. Lineage: Eukaryota; Viridiplantae; Streptophyta; Magnoliopsida; Solanales; Solanaceae.